AGAGUUUGAUCCUGGCUCAGAACAAACGCUGGCGGCGUGCCUAACACAUGCAAGUCGUACGAGAAAGUUCGCUUCGGCGGAUGAGUAAAGUGGCGCACGGGUGAGUAACGCGUGGAUAAUCUACCCUUUAAUUGGGGAUAACCCAUCGAAAGGUGGGCUAAUACCGAAUAAUACUGAUUCUACCUCGGAAGAACAGUCAAAGGGGGCCUCUGUUUACAGAGGCUCUUGUUAAAGGAUGAGUCCGCGUACCAUUAGCUAGUUGGUAGGGUAAUGGCCUACCAAGGCGACGACGGGUAGCUGGUCUGAGAGGAUGAUCAGCCACACUGGCACUGGAACACGGGCCAGACUCCUACGGGAGGCAGCAGUGAGGAAUUUUGCGCAAUGGGAGCAAUCCUGACGCAGCAACGCCGCGUGGGUGAAGAAGGCCUUCGGGUCGUAAAGCCCUGUCAGGUGGGAAGAACAGCUUGAAGAUGAAUAAGCUUUGAGUUUGACGGUACCACCAGAGGAAGCACCGGCUAACUCCGUGCCAGCAGCCGCGGUAAUACGGAGGGUGCAAGCGUCAUUCGGAAUUACUGGGCGUAAAGCGCGUGUAGGCGGGAAAGCAAGUCUGAUGUGAAAGCCCCGGGCUUAACCUGGGAAGUGCAUUGGAAACUGUUUUUCUUGAGUACUGGAGAGGAAGGGAGAAUUCCCGGUGUAGAGGUGAAAUUCGUAGAGAUCGGGAGGAACACCAGUGGCGAAGGCGCCCUUCUGGACGGUUACUGACGCUGAGACGCGAAAGCGUGGGGAGCAAACAGGAUUAGAUACCCUGGUAGUCC
RNAcentral lists this ribosomal RNA (815 nucleotides) under uncultured bacterium. RNAcentral's name for it is "bacterial SSU rRNA". It matches the Rfam family "Bacterial small subunit ribosomal RNA", at positions 8 to 796 of the family's 1533-position model. The record is from RNAcentral.